Molecule: transfer RNA, 74 nt
Filed under: Oryctolagus cuniculus (rabbit)
Lineage: Eukaryota; Metazoa; Chordata; Mammalia; Lagomorpha; Leporidae
Rfam family: tRNA
About the family: Transfer RNA (tRNA) molecules are approximately 80 nucleotides in length. Their secondary structure includes four short double-helical elements and three loops (D, anti-codon, and T loops). Further hydrogen bonds mediate the characteristic L-shaped molecular structure. tRNAs have two regions of fundamental functional importance: the anti-codon, which is responsible for specific mRNA codon recognition, and the 3' end, to which the tRNAs corresponding amino acid is attached (by aminoacyl-tRNA synthetases). tRNAs cope with the degeneracy of the genetic code in two manners: having more than one tRNA (with a specific anti-codon) for a particular amino acid; and 'wobble' base-pairing, i.e. permitting non-standard base-pairing at the 3rd anti-codon position.
Source: Rfam by way of RNAcentral
GGCAGUGUGGCUCAAGGGGAAGAGGCUCUGCUUUGCGGGUUGAACACACCUGGGUUCAAAUCCCAGCUCUGCCA